This 1089-nucleotide long non-coding RNA is filed under the name Anas platyrhynchos platyrhynchos (common mallard). RNAcentral describes it as "lncRNA (ENSAPLG00000023680.1)". The record is from RNAcentral. Lineage: Eukaryota; Metazoa; Chordata; Aves; Anseriformes; Anatidae.
AUGCCCCCCGGCAGGCCCAGCUCCGGGUGCUCCCCGCAGCCCUGGCACUGCGGUGGCUGCGCUCCCUUUGCCGGAUGGAGGCAGAGCACCCAGGUGGGUGCUUUUAUUCCUUGGGUGCUGGCAGGGAAGGAGGUGCUCCCAGGGAUGGGUGCGAUGCCCAGCAGACCUCCACCAGCCCCCGGGGCAGAGAUCCUCUGCCUGGUGAGGGACGGCUCCGAUAGGAAAAAGCUCAGGGAAGCAGCUGGGCUGCCUGGGGCCGUCCCUACGCCCCGAGACAGGGGUGAUGCUCGGUGCCAGCAGCACCGCAGCCCCCGGGAGCCAACAGCCCGCUGUGCCUGCGGCCGAGCAAGCGGCCGGGAGAGCAGGCGGCGCUCAGGAAGGGCGUGCUCCAGCCCAAGGACUUCUCUCCCGGGCCGUCUGCGCAGGCAUCACUUCCCCAGAGCGUGUCACGGCGGCGCGGGGCCGCUUCCUUCUGGCCGGGCUCACGAUCGAGCCCGCACGGAGGCGCCGGCAGGCACCGGGCACGGCCUCGCAAGCGGCCGGGACGAAGGCACCCAAGGGUGCCGGGGCGGGGAGCACGGGGGGCGCCCAGGGGACGGGGCGCAGCGCCCGGGGGCGCCACGGGGAGCGCGCCACCACGGGCAGCGCGCCACCACGAGGCCACGCCCACUACGAGACCACGCCCACUUGUGGCCACGCCCACUGCCGCCCGCCCAUUCAUCCCCGGCACCGCCCUACCGCUGGCCACGCCCCCUUUUCGCCCGCCCAUUCACACCACGCCCUAAAGCCACGCCCACUCCCUUGGCCACGCCCACUCCUGGCCACGCCCACCUCCCCGCCCUAUAUAAAGCCCGCCGCGGGGCGCUGCCGGCCCUGGGGGCGCUGCCCUCCCCCUGCGCUCACCUGCGGUGCUGGCAGCGGGGCUCUGGGGGGUGUCCGGGGGUGUCCCCGCGGUCCCGUUGGUGGUCCCUCGGGGCUGGCUGGGGGUUGAAUUGCUCCCAGGGUCCCCGGUGCUGGGGUGGGAGGGGGUUGCGGUGUCCAGAGGCGUUGUGGGGUCCGGCGGGGUUGUGUUGGGCUCGGUUGGUGUGA